GUACGUGAAACCGUUCAGGGGUAAACGGGAGAAAUCCUGAAUUCGAAAGGGAUCGGAUUCAAGUCCGCCCGGCUGCACAGGACGCCUGGCCCCGCCAGAUGGCGCCGGUCGCCCGCGGCGAUUCAUUUCGCUUGUGGUGUCGUUCCCGGCGAUCACUCGGUGAGGUGGCGAUGCUCUGGCACCGGAGGAGUGCACUUCCCCCCUAGUAGAAACGUCGCGACCCGUUGGGUGCCGGUCCAAGGCCCGGGAAGGCAGACCGCGUGUCCUGUGGGGGUUCUCACAGGCGUGCGGACUCCUGGUGACCCGGCCGGCUGCUCGACGGUAUGACCAGAGGAGUCGAUCCGCUGAAUGUGAAACACUUUGGAUGUGUAGCGUCCGGCCCGGCGCCGAUGCGUGCGGGGAUUGAGGUGCAAACCGGGGGUGUCCGUGCGAAGCACGGCCCCGGCCCCGCUGCGUUUUCGGAUUGUCGGUGUCCUCGGACUGGAUCGUUACUCCCGUCUGCGACGCCCACCUUCGGAUGG
This 521-nucleotide ribosomal RNA is filed under the name Lamponius sp. TRB-2015. Its description in RNAcentral is "eukaryotic LSU rRNA". The record is from RNAcentral. Lineage: Eukaryota; Metazoa; Arthropoda; Insecta; Phasmatodea; Pseudophasmatidae.